This 253-nucleotide ribosomal RNA is filed under the name uncultured bacterium. RNAcentral's name for it is "partial 16S ribosomal RNA". It matches the Rfam family "Bacterial small subunit ribosomal RNA", at positions 524 to 776 of the family's 1533-position model. The record is from RNAcentral.
UACGGGGGGGGCAAGCGUUGUUCGGAAUUACUGGGCGUAAAGGGUUCGUAGGUGGCCUACUAAGUCAGACGUGAAAUCCCUCAGCUUAACUGGGGAACUGCGUCUGAUACUGGUAGGCUUGAGUGCAGGAGAGGAACGCGGAAUUCCAGGUGUAGCGGUGAAAUGCGUAGAUAUCUGGAGGAACACCGGUGGCGAAGGCGGCGUUCUGGACUGCAACUGACACUGAGGAACGAAAGCCAGGGGAGCAAACGGG